CAGGAAAUAGUUUAUAAAAUUAAAACAUUAAAUUUGGGAUUUAAAGAAGAAAUUUCCUGA
RNAcentral lists this transfer RNA (60 nucleotides) under Amyrsidea minuta. RNAcentral's name for it is "tRNA-Pro". The record is from RNAcentral. Lineage: Eukaryota; Metazoa; Arthropoda; Insecta; Psocodea; Menoponidae.